GUUUAGCCCAGAUUGAAAUGGCAUCCUUUUUUUGUUUUUACAAAAAAAGAUAUAAUGGAAAGCUGGAAAUAGC
Molecule: small RNA, 73 nt
Filed under: Polaribacter reichenbachii
Lineage: Bacteria; Pseudomonadati; Bacteroidota; Flavobacteriia; Flavobacteriales; Flavobacteriaceae
Description: Flavo-1 RNA
Rfam family: Flavo-1 RNA
Source: Rfam by way of RNAcentral